CCUACGGGAGGCAGCAGUGGGGAAUAUUGGUCAAUGGACGCAACUCUGACCCAGCAACGCCGCGUGAAUGAUGACGGUCCUCGGAGUUUAAAGCUCUGUUAUGCGGGAUGAACACGAUGAUGGUACCCCAAUACCAAACCACGCCUAACUACGUGCCAGCAUCCGCGCUAAUCCGGAGGGGGCGAUCAUCAGCCGGAAUGAAGGGGGGUAAAGGGGUCGUGGGUGGUUGAGUAAGGUGGAGGUGUAAUUCCGGGGGUGAACCUCGGAGUUACCGCUAAAACUAUGAGUCUAGAGGGCAGGAGAGGUAAGUGGAAUGCGUGGUGUAGCGGUGGAAUGCGUAGAUAUUAGGAGGAACAUCGGGGGCGAAGGCGACUUACUGGGCUGUAACUGACGCUGAGGCACGAAAGCGUGGGGAGCAAACAGGAUUAGAUACCCGAGUAGUC
Molecule: ribosomal RNA, 443 nt
Filed under: uncultured bacterium
Lineage: Bacteria
Description: partial 16S ribosomal RNA
Rfam family: Bacterial small subunit ribosomal RNA
Source: RNAcentral